CCUACGGGUGGCAGCAGUGGGGAAUAUUGCACAAUGGGGGAAACCCUGAUGCAGCGACGCCGCGUGAGUGAAGAAGUAUCUCGGUACGUAAAGCUCUAUCAGCAGGGAAGAAAAUAACGGUACCUGACUAAGAAGCCCCGGCUAAAUACGUGCCAGCAGCCGCGGUAAUACGUAGGGGGCAAGCGUUAUCCGGAUUUAUUGGGUGUAAAGGGAGCGUAGGCGGCAGCGCAAGUCUGGAGUGAAAUCACGGGGCUUAACCCCGGAACUGCUUUGGAAACUGUGCGGCUGGAGUGCAGGAGGGGUAAGCGGAAUUCCGAGUGUAGCGGUGAAAUGCGUAGAUAUUAGGAGGAACACCGGUGGCGAAGGCGGCUUACUGGACUGUAACUGACGUUGAGGCGCGAAAGCGUGGGGAGCGAACAGGAUUAGAUACCCGGGUAGUC
RNAcentral lists this ribosomal RNA (440 nucleotides) under uncultured bacterium. RNAcentral's name for it is "partial 16S ribosomal RNA". It matches the Rfam family "Bacterial small subunit ribosomal RNA", at positions 338 to 795 of the family's 1533-position model. The record is from RNAcentral.